UCCAUCACAUGUCACGUCGUUUCUUCUAGCUAGGGCCUAGGGAUUCACCUUUGUAACUCCCGUUGUCCAACCUUGUUCAAUACAAUUAAUAGUUGUUCCGUUGACUGAACUGUACUCAUUCCUGCUGAAAGUUCGUUGUGAACGGAUAAGAAAACACAUCUUCCGCAGAGCCUGACGAAAUGAGACAGCCGGAAGUACGACGAAUCCAAUAUCAUGGGAGAAUUCCCAUACGGUUCAAAUGGUCGCAAGACACGGGUUCUGCCAACGAUGAAGAUUGUAGCAAGGAGCACUUUUCCCAGUCACAAUGCGUCCUCCAAACUCUUUUAAUUAUUGGCGAUGGCGCCAUCGUGAGAAUACCGAAGUCAAAGAAUGCAACAUGCUGUCAAGCAAACAACUCUGUACGCUCACCAGAGAGUGGGCUGAGGCCGAGGUACAACAAUGCAAGAGACAUCCAAGUACUUAGUUGAACUUUGUAUGACACCACUCACCAGUUGACAUCAGAGUCUCACUAUCCAGGAGGAUGAGGGUGGGCUGACUCAACAGAAGACACUGUCGUCACAAUGCGCCUAGGCCAGUUCUUUCUCAGUGAAGGUUUUUGCAGCCAUGGCUACACCAGAUGAAGCCCCAACAACAGCAGCAGCAGCAACAGUCAUUUGGUCUGACUAACUCAGCCUUCAAAUUUACAUACGCAUUAUAAAUGUCACUAUCGUCAGACGGCAACAAGCUGUGGAAACAACCCAAAGAGGACAUGAACCCCAAAAGAGGAGAUGUAUAGCCCGGGAAGAGAGUGUGAAGUGCAGAGCACAGCAACCAAGCAUUAUAAAUUUCAUAAUCGUCAGAUGGCAACAAGCUGUGGAAACAAACCAAAGAAGACUUGAACCAAAAGAGGAGAGGUGUGACACGAGAAGAUAGUGCGGAGUGCGGCAACCAAUGCAGUUCACUUCGCCGACUGAUCCUUUGAAUUCGGAGCAGUGCGCCCAAAACUCCACCAGAAGAGUCCAUGCGCUGGAGUGCCAGUUUACUGGGGGAAACAGGCCACCAUGGAAAGGUUGAGUGCAGUCCUUCCAGGUAGCCCUUCUUAAGAAAUGUAUUGACGAUGGAUCGCUACCGCAACUGACAACCUCAACGUCUCCUCAAUUCGCCAUGCCUUAACAACAGAGUACAUGUGCCCGCUCUGGAAUUGGUCGUGCAAGGUGAGGCAGUUCCAGAUCACGAGGAGUUCAGCAAGCUGGAACCGAAGUGACCGAGAGACAGAUGACGGUUCGUGGGGAAUGUGGCAUGACAAGUGCCACCAAUGUCACGUACACUGACGAAGGGAAAGGAGGAGGAUGGUGUGUUGAUGAUGAGAAUAUAAUAUACACGAGGAAAUCAAGGAUAUCCAAACCUUGAACCUUCCAAGCUGAAAGGCUGUUGGUUUGCGCGCUGGAGAUGUGUUAGAGCUAGGUGUCAGGUCGUUGAAUGUCUCAGUAACCUGUCAGUUUUGUACUUAGUUAUCACACCUUCUGACCGCUUAUCUUGUAGCAGUAGUAGACUGUUGCUCAUAAUUUGUAACAAAAACCCAUGUUUCCUUUCUCAUUUUUAAAUCGAGGAUAUACAAUAAUUCAGUUCUAGUAUUUCGUCCAUAGUACCGUGCAUGUAUGACAAUACUUGUACUUGGUUCAGAAUCAUAAUAGAAUAGAAUACUCAAUGAUGCAGACAGUCAGAAUAUACAGGAGGAAAUCAAGGAUAUACAUGUACAAUCAGAUCUAACAGUCCUUCACUUCCUUUCCCCAAGAGACUCCCUUUGAUAGGCAUCCAUUUGCUCCUGGAGAAUUAUUAUUAUUAUUAUUAUUAUUUUCACUAGUUUGAGGGAAAGAGACAAAAAUUAUUAUUAUUAUUAUUAUUAUUAUUCCACAAUCACGAUGACAUAGUGCCAAUAAGCAUGUGAUGCGGGCGAAUCCUUGAAAAUAUAAUGUCAAUAUCUAGUCAUAGUACAUUACGUUGUAUGACUAUACGUGGUUCAGUGUGGUACAUUGCGCUACCAGUUUCAGGAAAUUGUUGGUGUUUACUUUCAUUUAUAUGUAGCGUUUGCUCUGAACUGUUCUUUUUUUCUUUUCUUUAUUUCUCCAACUUCUUCCCAUGGCGUCCCUGUCUCAGUUCCUCAGCUGACAACGCUAACACUGUCGUGAGAAUGUGCUCGCUGUAGACG
This is a long non-coding RNA of Sycon ciliatum, 2188 nucleotides long. RefSeq lists it as uncharacterized. The record is from RefSeq and is a predicted model, not a curated record. Lineage: Eukaryota; Metazoa; Porifera; Calcarea; Leucosolenida; Sycettidae. The transcript has 9 exons.